AGAGGAAGGUCCCCCACACUGGUACUGAGACACGGGCCAGACUCCUACGGGAGGCAGCAGUGAGGAAUAUUGGUCAAUGGUCGGGAGACUGAACCAGCCAAGCCGCGUGAGGGAUGAAGGUACAGAGUAUCGUAAACCUCUUUUGUCAGGGAACAAAGGCGGGGACGUGUCCCCGGAUGAGUGUACCUGAAGAAAAAGCAUCGGCUAACUCCGUGCCAGCAGCCGCGGUAAUACGGAGGAUGCGAGCGUUAUCCGGAUUUAUUGGGUUUAAAGGGUGCGCAGGCGGUCUGUUAAGUCAGCGGUCAAAGCCCGGGGCUCAACCCCGGCCCGCCGUUGAAACUGGCAGUCUCGAGUUGGAGAGAAGUAUGCGGAAUGCGCGGUGUAGCGGUGAAAUGCAUAGAUAUCGCGCAGAACUCCGAUUGCGAAGGCAGCAUGCCGGCUCCACACUGACGCUGAGGCACGAAAGCGUGGGUAUCGAACAGGAUUAGAUACCCUGGUAGUCCACGCAGUAAACGAUGAAUGCUGGCUGUCCGGGGGGAUUGACCCCUGG
RNAcentral lists this ribosomal RNA (550 nucleotides) under uncultured bacterium. RNAcentral's name for it is "bacterial SSU rRNA". It matches the Rfam family "Bacterial small subunit ribosomal RNA", at positions 295 to 842 of the family's 1533-position model. The record is from RNAcentral.